GAGGUAACAAAUUUCCUUGUCAAUUGUGUCUUUGACUAUGGAUGCCCUAAAAUUUUUGUCAUCCGCAGACAAUUGUUGUCUUGUUUUGUUCCUCUUUAGAAGGGGUUUUAUAAUAAGCUAUAAAACUCUAACAGGUGCUCUUGAAUGCAGGUUUCUGAUAACUUUGGAGAUUGUGACAUCAGAAUAGAGGAAAAACUUUUAGGACUCAUGGAGAGCUAAAAUGUUCAUGAGUAUCAAGCAGAAAAGGAAUGAACUAUAUGGACUGAACUAACAUUUUUGACUUUUUGCUUAAAAUGUUUCUGAUUCUUUGUUUUGUUUUUCAGGUCUCAAAACUUUUCUUUUGAGUUAUUGAUAGCUUUUAACAAUUUAUUUUACUCCUAAGGACAAAAUUUGGGGCAUAUUUGUUUCUCUCGACCUGAUUUCUGCAGAAUUUGGAAACUAUUUGAAUCAAACUUGACUUAUGGAGCCAAUAAAGCCCUUGGAGAAGCUGGCGUCAUAUUUUAUAUACACAGUCCCUGUACAGGGUUUCUGACCUGUGCACUGAAAGCUAAGCUGUGCUUUCAGAAAUCCCUGAGAACUGAAGCUAGACAACUUAAUCUUCAGAAGAAAAUAACAGCAACCUAUUUAUGUACAUAAGCCACUUUCAUACCUGCCUACUGAUAUAUGGACUUCAGAGUAUUGUGGACUAUAUUGAUUUUCCAGAAUUGUUCUUUUGUUUGUUAUUACUUUUCUCCCUUUCUCCCCCUGUUUUUUUUUUCACAACAAAUUGCUUUUAUUUUGGUAUGCAUCCACAUUUCAGCAUUUAGUGGUCCUGAACAGAAAGUGGAAAGACACAGCAAUUCAAUCCCCCCAAUUUUGGGGAUCUGCUGUGCACACUAGGUUCUUUCUUAAUCCCUGCUGAGGAACUUGAGAAGCAGCAGCAGCACCAAAACCAAGGCAUGCACCGGAUUCAAGGUUCUUUUUGUUCCAGUUGUCAGAUUCCAAACUAGACCCCAAUGUAUUGCAAGUAUGACCAAAUAAAAGCCCUGUUUAAAACUUCUUCUUUUUCUUUUCUUUUUUUUUUUUUUGAGACAGAGUUUCACUCUUGUUGCCUAGGCUGGAGUGCAAUGGCACGAUCUCAGCUCACUGCAACCUCUGCCACCUGGGUUCAAGCAAUUCUCCUGCCUUAGCCUCCCAGGUAGUGGGAUUACAAGCAUGUGCCGCCACACCCAGCUAAUUUUGUAUUUUUAGUACAGAUGGGGUGUCACCAUGUUGGUCAGGCUGGUCUCGAACUCCUCACCUCAGGUGAUCCACCUGCC
RNAcentral lists this long non-coding RNA (1298 nucleotides) under Homo sapiens (human). RNAcentral's name for it is "HSALNT0287910". The record is from RNAcentral. Lineage: Eukaryota; Metazoa; Chordata; Mammalia; Primates; Hominidae.